CCUACGGGAGGCAGCAGUGGGGAAUUUUGGACAAUGGGCGCAAGCCUGAUCCAGCCAUUCCGCGUGCAGGAUGAAGGCCUUCGGGUUGUAAACUGCUUUUGUACGGAACGAAAAGGCUCUGGCUAAUACCUGGGGCUCAUGACGGUACCGUAAGAAUAAGCACCGGCUAACUACGUGCCAGCGGCCGCGGUAAUACGUAGGGUGCGAGCGUUAAUCGGAAUUACUGGGCGUAAAGCGUGCGCAGGCGGUUAUGUAAGACAGAGGUGAAAUCCCCGGGCUCAACCGGGGAACUGCCUUUGUGACUGCAAGACUAGAGUACGGCAGAGGGGGAUGGAAUUCCGCGUGUAGCAGUGAAAUGCGUAGAUAUGCGGAGGAACACCGAGGGCGAAGGCAAUCCCCGGGGCCUGAACUGACGCU
Molecule: ribosomal RNA, 417 nt
Filed under: uncultured Comamonadaceae bacterium
Lineage: Bacteria; Pseudomonadati; Pseudomonadota; Betaproteobacteria; Burkholderiales; Comamonadaceae
Description: partial 16S ribosomal RNA
Rfam family: Bacterial small subunit ribosomal RNA
Source: RNAcentral